Molecule: long non-coding RNA, 3705 nt
Organism: Salvelinus sp. IW2-2015
Lineage: Eukaryota; Metazoa; Chordata; Actinopteri; Salmoniformes; Salmonidae
Exons: 3
Source: RefSeq, a predicted model, not a curated record
GCUAUUUCUGGCCUCGGGAAGAAGUUCACUUCAUUUUGGUGAACGGAUGAAAGGAGGGGUAUGAGGAGUUGCGAUGGAGGGGGAUUAGAGGCUUGGUACUAGAAAAAUCUAUGAAACUGUUUUCGGCAUUUUAUACAUUUCACUAUCACAACGAAGCGGAGAAGGAGGAGGAGGAGGGUACCUGAGUGCAUCAAUGCACCAGCAGAAUGCCAACGAGAGCCUACCUCACAGCUCCUGUAGGAGAGUGAAUGAGACAGAGAGCGAAGAGAGAAUGAAGAUACAAUCCUGUCUGUCUCACCUCCCUGUUUGUCUCUCUGCUUACUGAGAGAAAUAACACCUGAUCCAGGAACAGAACAGGGAGCUGUCACACACCGUAGGCUUGGCUUCCGCAUCGCUCAGCUCAGAAGGACAACAACGGACGAUGCUGCUUCUUCACCUGAAUCUCUGUCAUUUUGGAGAGCAGACUGAGAUUCAUCAGAGUUCUCCCAUCACUCGCUGUGGUUCUAUGAUUCUAAGACAAGGCCAGAUAUGAGCCAUUGUAGAAGGAAAUGUCACAUCUGGUCAAAAGUAGUGCACUAUAUAGGGAAUAGGGUGGCAUUUGUAAUGCAGGCUCUGAGGAGUCCACAUCUGACCAGAAUCAUUCUUGACUCCACACUUUUGUGGUCAGAGGGCCUUAUAACAAUACCACCAUUAUAAAACAGUGGAGGAGGGAGAUGGAUACACAGCUCAUAGGUUUUACUAGUACCAAAGAAACCUCUUUGCCAACUAUGACACUAACUACUACACUGGAGAAGGCAAGACAAACAAACGGCGACAGACAAACAAACAAACAAACAAUGCCCUGGUUAUGAACCCCUUGAAUGCUUGGUUUGUAUGAUCUCUACAUUCCAGGGAACGAUGACCCUUUGAAUGUGUUUUUAUUUCUCCUCCACAUGUUGUGAUGAUAUGAUGUCUACAGAAUGCAACAUGUACAUGUGGACACUGGAAUGCACGCACAAUAAUAAUAAAAAAAGAAACCCAUACCUUCUUAACACUUUUUCACCACUACGUCCAGAAGAGGGUUCACCAGACAAUACUAGACGAGUAGGAUAAAGAGAGGAGAAGCUACCAGUGUGCCCACCAAUAGAGUGUGAGAUCCACACAGGAGAGAGGACCAGAUGGAACGCAAGCAAGCGUGACCAUGGCUGUCUUUUAGCCAUCGCAAAGCCAUCAUUUGUCAAUCCCAGAGCGAGCACUUCGGGAUUUUUUUUUUAUAUAUAAAAAGUAUUUUCAUUUUGUUUCAUUUCUUAUAAUUUUUGCCUGAUAUUUUUCUGAAAAGAAGAGCCUUAUUCGGUACAUAUUUUUUACUUGUAUAUGUUUUGAAACGUCCAUAUCAUAACUUUCUUAAUUUCGUUUUGCACAACUGUAUACUAUUGUAUGUACAUAAAUCCAUCGAGAACACUGAUAAUGUAAAUUAUUAAUUUGUGUUUUUAUUAAUUUAUAUUCAUGUGACUUCUGUUUUUAGGUUUUAGGUUUUUGUUUGGUAAAUCUAUUUAUAUUUUAUGGUCUAUUGUUUUCUUAUUUAUUAUCUUACAUUUGAAUAAUUUGCUGGUUGAUUUUUAAAAGCAAUAGCAUGCAUACAAUUAUAUACAGCACAAUGGUGUUAAUGGUGUUUAAAUUCAUGGAUGGGAAUAACUGAAACAUGUUGAUAAACAUCAGCAAUAUGUCAGAGAGAGUUGCAUAAUUACACAUACACACCUAAAUCUCUAUGUUUACACUUACUCACACAGAGACAUACAUGCAAUCAAGCAAACACACACACAUGCAGGAGUGGCUGGAAGCAAUCAUCAUUUCAAAUGUUCUAUGCAAUGAUUCAUUUUGAAACUGGAACAGACAAAAAAACAAAGUUUAAUACCAUAAUGACCAAUGUUACUCACUAGAAUCCAACAACAUUGUGAACUGAAAGACAAAACAGUUAUGAACAUAUUUGUACUUAGCUAAUUAUAUUUAUGGAUCUGAAUAUUUAACUAUUGAAUCUAGACUUUUAUUUUUGUGGCAUGUUUUAUAGUACCCCAUUACUCCCCAUAUGGGGGGACUUGUUGCCAAAGGGUUGACUGUGUAGACUGUCAGUCAUGAAUGUCCACCAUCUUAUUGCUUGAAGCAUGAUUUGCUUGGCUUUGUCCGGCUGUUUGUAUGCUCUCAUUCAGUCCUGGUGUGUGUGGCUUGACCAGGGCCCCACUGUGCCAUGGCGUGUUCAGCUGUCCAGUCCGUGCUGCUAUACAAACCUGUGAUGCGGUUGGUCAGAAAUUCUCAUUGUAAAAUGUCAGUCAGUGUGCGCAUCGGCUGUCAGUGUAUAACCUGAAGGGUGGAGGAUUCAUUUCAGGUAUCUGAUUGGUUGACCAGACUGUCCAACAAAUAGAAUGGUUCCUUAUGUCUCACUGCAUUAGGAAUGGCAUCAUGUAGUAAUAGAUGAUGAGGGAAACAACUUGACAUGCUUUGAAGCCACUAAAAGUUGCAUACAAAGAUAUCAAGGUAUCAUUAGUAGUUGGAGGAACAAAUGUUGGAAUCCUAACAUCCACUUAGUCAUGCAUUGUAUUUUAAGUUGAAGUUAGGAUUCGCCCUUAAAUGAACAGUCUAGAACUCGUCGCAAACUUUAGAACUCAAUCAGUGGACCACUGAACCUUCCAUAGCCAAGGCUAGUCUAGAGGGAAUCUAGAGGAUACCACAGUACUGUCAAUCAGGUCAGAGAAACUCAACAUUCUGCUGAGCCCAAGUCAAUCAUUCAUCCAACCAGGGCAUGUUAUAAUUAAAGCACAGGCCUUACUGGUAUGUAAAGACAGAAAUAUGACACCACUAGGAUAUGUGUUAUUGAUUUCAAGGAGAGCUAAAACAAAUGUGUUAAUAACGGUAAUAAUAUAAAUGAGAGUCUGCAGGGUGGAUCCAAAGAGGGACCUUGGUAUAGAUAGCUGCAUGCUCACCAUCUUUAUGGAGACUUUGUGGUCGAUAAGAGAAGCAUGAGACCAGACAGCCUUCACUGACUGUAGCCGUCCAAAUGGACAGACAGACAGACACACAAACACACAUUCUCACUGUAAAUACAGAUGGAUUCUUCUGUACAGCAUUUGAGUUCAUAGUACGGUCGUCUUGUGGAUUCCCACACCGUACUUGCUGCCAACUUUUGUGCUUUUGUGUAUAAAAUAAUAUUGAUUAUGAUUAAAUAUCAGGAUUAUGAAUAUAAUGAUGAAAUAAGCAUAGUGUACCUGGCUGGCUCGUAUUGACUGUUGGCAACAUUGGAAUAAACUUGUAUUCAGAUACAUAUUUGGUCUGUGUAGAGUUUCUAUACAUAUUGUGUUUGUAAAACAAGGAGAAAUACCUCCAUGGUAAAAGUUUAUCCAGGCAUUCUAUUGUCAUUCUAUCGGGAGGUUUCAAAGUUGAUGAGGAAUUAUCCGUUUUUUAAAAAGAGAUUGAAAGAAGAGGAAAAAGCUAAUUGAAAAUGCAACAAAAAAAAUCCAGAAAAAGUCUAACUCAAGUCAUUCACUGUUGUAAGUGCAAUGGGCGAAACGUCAGUUGUGUAUCCAUUGUGAAACCUUGUGUUCUAUUCAGUGUAUUCCUGUAAACAGAUAGAGUAACAUUUUGGUGCAUCAUGUCAUGUAAUGUGAUUAAUGAAAAUAUUGACCCUGCAAUUUCUUUCCAAUCAGGAAAAUAAUAAAGAGAAAAUCAAAAAUC